RNAcentral lists this long non-coding RNA (651 nucleotides) under Mus pahari (shrew mouse). Its description in RNAcentral is "lncRNA (MGP_PahariEiJ_G0004773.1)". The record is from RNAcentral. Lineage: Eukaryota; Metazoa; Chordata; Mammalia; Rodentia; Muridae.
AUAGAGAAAGAGAAUCACUCAGGAAUAGACAGGCUUUUCUUUUCCUCCAGCCUCAGGACUUGGAGCAUUCAGGACUAUCCCCCAGUUAGGAUGCAUUCCAGCCAGACUACACGACUCGGAUGAAAAAAAAAAAAAAAUCAGCUCUUACUUUUUUCCUGACUAGGAGAGAGGAUCGAAACGAAGCAGAGACUAAGAACAGAUGAAUGAAAGGUCCUGACCUUGUCUGUAUCUCCUGAAUCAGCCAUGCCUGAAGUCUGCUCCAAGAUCAUCUAACUCAGAAGGCGACAUGCUGGCUGGGUUCUGUCAACAUGCUACAAACCUAGACAUGUCUGGGAAGAGAGAUUCUUAACUGAGAAAAUUCAUCCGUAAGAUUUACCUGUGGGCCCAUCUGUGGGACAUUUUUCUUCAUUAGUGAUUGGUAUGGGAGGGCCCAGGUCAUGGAAGGGGGUGCCACCCCUGGGUAGGAGGUCCUGAUUUGUAUAAGAAACACAACUGAGCAAGGUAGAAGGAGCAAGUAGGUUGGCAACACCCUCCCAUGACUUCUGCAUCAAUUGCUGCCUCCAGGUUCCUGCCUUGAGUUCCUGCUUUGACUUCCCUCAGUGAUGGACUUUGAUGGGGAACUUUAAGCUGAAGUAAACGUUUUUCUUCCCU